CCUACGGGCGGCAGCAGUGGGGAAUAUUGGACAAUGGGGGCAACCCUGAUCCAGCCAUGCCGCGUGUGUGAAGAAGGCCCUCGGGUUGUAAAGCACUUUCAGUGAGGAAGAACGCCUGGUGGUUAAUACCCAUCAGGAAAGACAUCACUCACAGAAGAAGCACCGGCUAACUCCGUGCCAGCAGCCGCGGUAAUACGGAGGGUGCGAGCGUUAAUCGGAAUUACUGGGCGUAAAGCGCGCGUAGGGGGCUUGAUAAGCCGGUUGUGAAAGCCCCGGGCUCAACCUGGGAACGGCAUCCGGAACUGUCAAGCUAGAGUGCAGGAGAGGAAGGUAGAAUUCCCGGUGUAGCGGUGAAAUGCGUAGAGAUCGGGAGGAAUACCAGUGGCGAAGGCGGCCUUCUGGACUGACACUGACACUGAGGUGCGAAAGCGUGGGUAGCAAACAGGAUUAGAUACCCUUGUAGUC
RNAcentral lists this ribosomal RNA (465 nucleotides) under Vreelandella stevensii. RNAcentral's name for it is "partial 16S ribosomal RNA". It matches the Rfam family "Bacterial small subunit ribosomal RNA", at positions 338 to 795 of the family's 1533-position model. The record is from RNAcentral. Lineage: Bacteria; Pseudomonadati; Pseudomonadota; Gammaproteobacteria; Oceanospirillales; Halomonadaceae.